UAAAUUACCAAGUUAUGUUAUCAAGAUUUCUCAGCUAUGUGACCAGCACAAUGAAAAAUACGUCAUUUACUGCAAGAAGCAUGAAUGCCCUUGUUGCAGCAACUGCAUUGUACAAAGUCACAAUAGAUGUGAUGAAAUCGUAAAACUAGAUGAUGUCAUUAAAAACGCCAAGACAUCAAAUGCAUUCUACGAAAUCGAGCAGACAUUAGCAGAAGUAGUAGAAAAUAUUGGAAAAAUCCGAAUAGACCGACAAAAGAACCAGCUGACCUUAUCUGAGACUCGGAAACAGAUUGAGAAAGAAAUCGCAGAGACCCGAAUAGCGAUCAAUAAUCAUAUCGACAAAAUACAAACAGAUAUAAUAAAGGAGCUAUGUGCAUCAGAAGACAAGGAGAGUAGAAAAAUCAGUCAACUGUUAAUUUCUCUAGAGGAAAAACAACAAGAGAUUUUGUCAUUGCAGGAUAGUAUUUCAGAUAUCAAACAGAAUGCUUCUGAUCUUCAGACUUUUUUGUCUAUGAAACGAAUCGAAAAGGAGGUUUCUGGUAAAGAUGAAUUCAUCAGGUCAAUAUCAGCUAAUGCGAAUUUGAAAAAGAUCGUUCUGUCAUUUCGUAUCAACACUGCAAUUAAAAAUCUCAUUUCCGACAUUCAAAAUUUCGGAAGGAUCACGGUUGAAAGUAAACCGUCAAAUAUUGAGCUUACCACGAGAAAUCAAAAACAAGCUCAAAUGAUGGUGGCAAAAUUACCAUCAAGAUCGUUUGGAAAUAUUAAUCUAAAGUUAAAGCAUUCAAUUAACACGGAACGAAACAAAGACAUUCUUGGUAUAAGUCUGUUACCUGAUGGAAGGAUUGUAAUUUCAAGCAGAAUAAGUUAUUUUGACAACGGUACUAUAUCCGUUCUGAACCCAAAUCGAUCCCUGGAUUUUGAAAUAGGAUUACCAUCACCAUCCUUUGAUGUAACAUACAUUACAGAAGACAAUACUUUGGUUGUAUCAUCUGGUUAUUCUUAUUCCAGGUGUAUUUACAUUAUUGACAUUCAAAACCAAAGAGUCAAGAAAACUAUUUCUUUAAAUGGGUAUAUAUAUGGGAUAACAUAUAAUAGAGCCGAUUUAAUUUAUUCUGGGCGAUAUCAAGGAAUUCGAAUGAUAAAUCCUAAUAACGAGACCGUCAGCGAUAUAGUUGUAGAUGAAAUGCAGUCCGAAAGCUACGUUACAACAUUUGGUGACAAGCUGUAUCAUACCAACCCGGAUAAAAACACCGUUACAUGUUAUAAUCUACAAGGUAAACUACAAUGGACAUUUCAAAAUGAAAGUGUUUUGCAGACACCAGGAGGCAUCAUCGUAGAUAGCAGUGGUGACAUAUACGUAGUAGGAUGUAAAUCAAACAAUGUGAUACUUAUCUCUGCUGAUGGAAAACAACACCAACAAUUGCUAUCUACCAAGGACGGUCUCUCCGAACCAAAGGCGAUUCAUUUUAGUAUGGAAAGAAAAAUGUUGAUUGUAGCCAAUAAAAGAGGAAAAGCAUUCUUAUAUUCAGUACACUGAACCAUUUUGCAUAUAUAAUAUUGUGACUGCAGAAAAAGCUAAAAUUUGAAAUGUUAUGAAUAAAUAUGUCUGGCUUAUGUCCGGCAUAAACUUUAAGUAUCAUAUAAACAUUACUAUCUGAGUUCCUUACUUUGAAUGCAUUGCGAAGGUACAAAGGUAAAACUGAUAAUAGUAGUAUAUUCUUAAUAUCAUUAAGAAUUUACUCUUCACAGUAUAUGCAAGUAUGCAUCGUUGUUAGGUUAUCCACGAAUUUAAAGCUACAUUUUACACCGCCCCGAUUAGGAUGUUAAUUUAGCUGGCGGUCCAAUAUUCUUUAUUAGAAAUGCAAAUGUUUUUUGCAGCUAUAUUAAUAAGUUAGAAUAGCAACUGAUAUUCAUAUCUAAAACAGUAACUGUAUACAAAAAGAAAUUUAACUACCCUAAAUUACAAUUUCUAAGCAGUAGCUUUAGUUUACCAAUAGAUUGAAAAAAAGUAUAGUGUUUUAAUUUUUGUGUUUAUCAAUCAGUUCUGGCAUUGAUUAGAGGUUCUACUGCUUUAAGACCCGAAAGUCAUAAAAAAGAUAUUGACCUGGUCUUCCCAACCGUUUUAUUUGCAUAAAAGUUUUACAAGAGCUAGGCGACAGAAAGAUAGAGAUCAACUCAGAUGAAAACUUGACUGUGACAUAUAAUUGCGAAUGAGACAAAAGACAAGAACAAUAUUUACAACUACAUAUCAUCGUAGGGACAUCAACAAUGUAUGAAAUUCAUAUCGUGUAGUAUUCUAUAAAAGGACUCAUGGUAAAAAAAGUAAAACAAUACAAAAUGUUAUGCAACGGCCUGGUAUAUGGUAAAACAUGCAAUUAAACAUACAUACUAAUGGACAGAAACGAACAAUUGACCUAUAGUCAUUUAAAUGAUAAGAAAUUUGAUAAAAAGAUGUUGAUUUUAUGAUACCAUAUACUAUGAACAAUUACAUUGUAUCAAACAAUGGCUGGCAUCAUUAACUUCAUUUCCACAUAACAGGUAAUAAAAUAACUUGACUCAAUAAAACAGAAAUAAGUUUUACUACGUAUCAGACAUUGGUGGAAGAUAUUUACUUAAUUUGAUGAUAUAAAGAUAAAGCAUUGACAUUCUUACACUCUCGCAUCGCCUGCUGUACUUCUGAUUUAUAUAUAUUUUUACUACUGGCCUCUCACCAUUGCAUUAACUAUGUAUGGUCAAAUAAUUUCGUUAUUUCUUCAAGAAAAAAGUACACUACCGCAUACUGAAAAUAUGUUCCGACUCACCUACAGUCACAUUUGUAUACAAUAAACCACUUUAAGUUUUUAUAUAAGCAAUUGCAUUAGAAAGUCUUCAUGUAAGUAUGGCAUUGUUACGUAACGAAUACUGUUGAUUUAUAUAUAUUCGUGUGUUCAAUUUUUGUUGAUUAAGGAAAAUUUGUAUAUCCAUGAAUAUAUUCGUGUUUUUCCAAAACUGCAUUUAAUAAUACAGCAAAUUUGGAACUUGUUAAACAUUUAAAUUCGUGGUUUCCUUUUGUAGCCACGAAUUCAACGAAAAGUAGUAUCCUACGAAUGAUAAUGAAUCAACAGUAUAGCAAAAUUAAUUGAUGGAUUGUUUAAACCCAUUUUUAGAUCUUUCAUGCAUAGUCAUGACGUAAAAAAAAUCAACAGAAAUACCUGGCUACCUACAUACAUCUUAAAGAGUUGUUUCAAGAAUUAAUAGUGCGCAGAGAUCAAGGCUCUCUCUCCUUCUACACGAAGCAUCGGAUUAUACCUUUUGUAUCAUCACCAGACGUGACAACGAAUUCAUACAUGCCAUACAGUUAAAUGAAAAUCUCCGAUUUAAUUGACCUAAGUCAGGAAUCUAAUGUUAAGUGGUUGUCGUCUGUUUAUGUGGUUCACAAUUGUUUCUCGUUUCUUGUUUCUAUAUAGAUAAGACCGUUGCUUUUCUCGUUUGAAUUGUUUUGCACUAGUAAUUGAUGGUGCCCGUUAUAGCUUACUGUUUGGUAUGAGUCAAGGCUUCAUGUUGAAGACCGUACGUUGACCUAUAAUGGUUUACUUUUAAAGAUAGUUAUUUGGAUGGUGAGUUGUCUCAUUGGCACUCAUGUCACAUUUCUCCAUAUUUAUGAUUUAAGAACAAUAGUUUAUUGUGUUUGAAACUUUUGAUUUUGACAUUUGAUAAGGGACUUUCUGAUUUGAAUUUUCCUUUAUGUUCAGUGUUUUUGUGAUUUUACUUUUCAGUAUAAUAAUAACAUAUAUGACGGUGUAAACAAUUAACUUUGUCAUUUUUAAAGCUAUAUAUUUUAUUAUUCAAAACAGCGCUCAAGGGAACAGAGUUGUUCCCCUUGUAACACUAAAUAUUUUAAUCAGAUCUCGAUCUUUGCCUGUCUGCUGCGAUGGUCUACUUUAUAUUACAAAAAUGUAAUUGUAACAACGAGAACAACAACGUGGCACAGCCGUUUUAUAUGACGUGGGUGCAACCGUUCUCUUAUAACAUGUUCCAUUGUCACUUAUUUGCUCCUGAUUUGAUAUUAAAUUUAAUUGGAAAGAAAUUCCUUAUCUUUUUGUAGGUUUGUGUUUACCAACUAUGAAGAUUGAACCUGUAUAAUAUUUGUCCUGUAUUAUGAUAAAUUAACAACCAUGUGAACAAUAAUAUUCAUCAUCUGUAUAAAAUACUAGAACAAGGUAAAGUAACGCACGAACUACAUUUUCUCUACUAAGUCAGGAAUAUGGCAGGUGUUUUUUAUUAUGUCACUCAAUUAUAAUUAGCAUUGAAGUAAAGUAUGUUGCUACACAUUUUUAGGCAUAUAUCUUUAUGGACGCCCCUUUAGAUAAUCGCUGAAAUACUCGUAAUUACCAGGUAACAUUAAUGAGUUGAACAUAAUUUGGAUAAUGAUCUGUAUAUAAUUAUUACAUCUUGUAAUUUUUUUUUUAUACUAUUUUUUUUACAAUAACAAAUAAAUGACAAAAAGUGAGUGCUUUGUUCAUUUUACUUUGUCUUUUUAUUUCAAAUUGUCAAUAUUCUUUUUAUCGGUAAGUUGUGUACAAAACGUUAACAACUACAAGAACGACAACGUUCCACAGUCGUUUUAUAUGAAAUGAGCGUAACUGUUCUCUUAUAACAUGUCUCAUUAUCACUCAUAAUCUCCUGAUUUUGUAGCUUUGUUUUGGCCAACUAUGAAGAUUAAACCUGUUGUUUCUGUUAUAUGAAUGAAGUCGAAUGCAUAAAUUUAUGUUAAAUGAAUUCGAGUGAACAUGAACAAACAUGAUCACUAUGAUGUUACGUCGUCGCUUAAUAUUCUCGAGUUUCUUGUUCGGUCUGCAAUCUGGAAAAUUAUUAAAAGGCAAUAGGGUCAACUUGAACCUGUAUAUGUACAAAUUGCCGACGAAGUCCCUUUUUACAAAAUUAGGCAACAUCCAAAAUUGCACGAUAUGACUGUUUCUUGAUUAUUUUCCUCGUAAACAUCAAAUUAUAGUUUUUGUUUUGUUUUGAUUUAGGGUGGAAGAGAGUGUUAGAGAAAGAACGAUAGGGAAUGGAGAGAUGACUUAAUUCUUUGUACAAAACUACAGAAUUAGUGAUUUAAGGUAAACAACUUACAGUACUCCGAAUCAUACUGAUGUUCAUUACAAAUAAAAGAAAUUUGAUGAUGGAAACCAGUUUUCAAUAAAAUCUAGUGUUAAUAAGUUAACACCACAGAUAUAGAAAUGAAUAACAGUCAUUUAAAAUAUCAAAUGUAUUUUACGUUAACUGCAACCUCGAAUACAGAAAACUUCAUACAAAAUAAAACAAUCUCACAUGAUGUUUGCUUCUAUUGAUAGAUUACAGGUGUGAAGACUAAGACAUUAUACAAUACAAGAAAUUAAACCAAACGAAGAGUCGGAUUACAAAACACCAAACAAAACCUUUCUACUCAUAGUGUGUCUAAUUUUGGCGUCCUUGAUCUCUAUUUUUGUUUUAAGAUUAUGGGAACAUUGUAGAUAUUCCUAAAAGUUGCUUAUUUUUCCGAUUUCUGUGAUACCUUGGUAUACACAAAUUAAUAACACUUAAUAUAAUUGUUAUAAAUAAUUGUUAUAAGACAUGCUUUAAUAUGAUAAUAGCGAUAACCAUGAUAUCAUGAUGAAUAAAUACAUAGUUCAUUUUAGAUAUUUGAGAGUAACCCCUCGUUGUCCUGACUUUAGAAUAAUGACACGUCUGAUAUUCUGUUAAAUCAUUUUAAUUGCUUAAAUUACAAUUAUUAAGAGUAAUUUAACAGUCAAUAAUAUAAAAGUUCGAUCUCUGUAUGAUGGAAGUUACUCUUCACUAAUAUAUGCGUGUUGUAACAUAAACUAUAUCACAACACGCAGUAACAUGAGUAACGCGCGGAAGUUAGAGUUAUCUUUGCUUGUUUUGUUGAUUAAAGAAUAAGAUUCACUCUUAUGUUUGUGAUACAGAUAAUGGCAAUUUGAUUACGACAUAUUUGUAUAACAAAAAUCUAUAUUUGUAUUUGACCUCAAAGGGACAUAUGAAUUCCAUCAACAUUACCUUCAAAUUGACCAACGAAAAUAAUUACAAGAAUUUUAGCAACUCCAUAGGAAUCAUGCAGGAAACUGUUAUUAAGUAGCAUCAUAUCGCGCGUAGUUUAGCAUUAGACUCUAUCUAAUUUUUAUUCAUUAGUAUAGCCUCCGAAAACUACCGAUGUUCAUUUGACCCAAAAUAAACAUACGACUCAAUUAUUUUACCUUUAAAAUGACAUGUAUUUUUGUCACACAAUUGACCAUGCUGAGAACAUGCCAAACCCAGCGCUGUAUCAUGUUAAGGUUAUCAACUUAAGGAAUAUAAAUGAGUUCGAGUUAUUGGUUUGAAAGACACUGUAAUAAAUCAGCUUUUUUAGGGUUAUUUUUUUAAAUCUUAUUUCAUCUUAAUUUCAUGAAAGCAGUUGUUCAAUUAAUCUCAUAUAUUGCAGUUUUUGGAUAAAAAAAAUGUACUUAAAUGUUUUGCCUCAAUCUUAUUUCUUAAAUGACAAUUAAAACACAUGUUUAAUAAAUCGUCACGUUGACUUAGUAAAAUAAAAUGAAAGUUAAGGUUAGUCAGCAUAUAUGGUUAUUUCGAAAUCUGUAUCAAACAUGUCUUUGUGAAUACUUGUAGGAUUUUACAGUCGACACCGUUGCUUUCAAUUUGAUCUAAUCUUGCAGAGAUAUCUAAUACAAUGCCUGAUAUAUGCCUUUGAUUUAAUUCAAUUUUAAAAUCAAGUAGAUGAGGGUUUUUUCAACAAUCUCACACAAAUGUUAGAAUAAUCCAAAGUAAGCAAAAUUAAACGUGCACGGCUUCCCUAUUUAUCUUCACACAAUUACUAUCAUUGUUUUCAUGUUUUAUAGAACAAUGCAACGAUCAUGACGUAACCAUAUUAUAAUAUGUUGGUUUAACUAUUGUCCUAAUAAUGUAUUAUUGUGUUUAUAAAGAGAUAGAUUCCUUCUGAUAAGAAAUCAUCAAUUAAGUUUGUUUGAUCUAUGCUAUUUAUAAAUUAUAUAUUAUGUAUAAUAAAACACAUUUGAAAUAUACCGCGCACUUUAACUUGUGUUGGUUUUAUCAUAUUAAUCGUUUAUCAUAUAAAGUCACGUGAUCAGCGGUUUAUUUACUUUCCAGAAUUCUAGUCGACCUUUUACCAAAAGCUAUGAAAUAUUCGUAAUUAUUAGGUAAACUAAUGAAUUUUACAUGAUUUGGAUAAACGUUUUGUUAUCAAUCAAGUGUUAAUCUAUAAAUAAGAUAUGAAUGGUAAGUAUAGGGGUAAAUUCAGUAAAAAAUCUCCCAUUGACUUUAAUGCUAAUCUAUGUAUAGAAUUAAAUUUAUACCUGAUUUACCUUUAGAAAUUGGAAACUUUCAUAUAACAUUCAUGAAAGUACAAAUGUAGCCCUAUCUUUUGCACUAAUAAAAACAUAGGGUCAUGCGGUAUUUUGGGCAUUCACAUGGCCUUGUUUACAAACAAUGUAGAUUCGCACUGAAUUCCUAUACUGACCCCCAUUACUUUUCAACCCUGUAGUAAAAAACAUUAGUACAUUCAGCAUUUAUUUUUUAUUUUUUUUCAACUCUAGUUUUGAUCCAUCUGCCAAAAAAUAUUUAUUACAAACAUUAUCUACCAAUCAGAAGAGCAUAUGACUUCAGUGUUAUACAGAAAGCUCUCCUCUAAAUGGGCGGUCCCUGAUGACGUAUAUUUAUUUACUGAAUUUACCCCUAUAAGGGACUUUUUUACUUCUUUUCCCACUUUUUUUGUAAUAAACAUGUAAGGUAUCCAAUUUUCAAGUUCCAGUUUCAAUACAACAUUCAUAAAUGCUGAAUUUGUAAAGAUGGAGUUUAAAGGGCGAUAGGGAAUGGAGAGAUGAACUAAUACUUUGUAAAAAAUUACAGCAUUAGCGAUUUAAGGUAAACAACUUACAGUACUCCGAAUCAUACUGAUGUUCAUUACAAAUAAAAGAAAUUUGAUGAUGGAAACCAGUUUUCAAUAAAAUCUAGUGUUAAUAAGUUAACACCACAGAUAUAGAAAUUAAUAACAGUCAUUUAAAAUAUCAAAUGUAUUUUACGUUAACUGCAACCUCGAAUACAGAAAACUUCAUACAAAAUAAAACAAUCUCACAUGAUGUUUGCUUCUAUUGAUAGAUUACAGGUGUGAAGACUAAGACAUUAUACAAUACAAGAAAUUAAAACCAUAGGAAAAGUCGGAUUACAAAACACCAAACAAAACCUUUCUACUCAUAGUGUGUCUAAUUUGGGCGUCCUUGAUCUCUAUUUUCUUUUUUAAAGAUUAUGGGAACAUUGUAGAUAUUCCUAAAAGUUGCUGUAUUUUUCCGAUUUCUGUGAUACCUUGGUAUACACAAAUUAAUAACACUUAAUAUAAUUGUUAUAAAUAAUUGUUAUAAGACAUGCUUUAAUAUGAUAAUAGCGAUAACCAUGAUAUCAUGAUGAAUAAAUACAUAGUUCAUUUUAGAUAUUUGAGAGUAACCCCUCGUUGUCCUGACUUUAGAAUAAUGACACGUCUGAUAUUCUGUUAAAUCAUUUUAAUUGCUUAAAUUACAAUUAUUAAGAGUAAUUUAACAGUCAAUAAUAUAAAAGUUCGAUCUCUGUAUGAUGGAAGUUACUCUUCACUAAUAUAUGCGUGUUGUAACAUAAACUAUAUCACAACACGCAGUAACAUGAGUAACGCGCGGAAGUUAGAGUUAUCUUUGCUUGUUUUGUUGAUUAAAGAAUAAGAUUCACUCUUAUGUUUGUGAUACAGAUAAUGGCAAUUUGAUUACGACAUAUUUGUAUAACAAAAAUCUAUAUUUGUAUUUGACCUCAAAGGGACAUAUGAAUUCCAUCAACAUUACCUUCAAAUUGACCAACGAAAAUAAUUACAAGAAUUUUAGCAACUCCAUAGGAAUCAUGCAGGAAACUGUUAUUAAGUAGCAUCAUAUCGCGCGUAGUUUAGCAUUAGACUCUAUCUAAUUUUUAUUCAUUGGUAUAGCCUCCGAAAACUACCGAUGUUCAUUUGACCCAAAAUAAACAUACGACUCAAUUAUUUUACCUUUAAAAUGACAUGUAUUUUUGUCACACAAUUGACCAUGCUGAGAACAUGCCAAACCCAGCGCUGUAUCAUGUUAAGGUUAUCAACUUAAGGAAUAUAAAUGAGUUCGAGUUAUUGGUUUGAAAGACACUGUAAUAAAUCAGCUUUUUUAGGGUUAUUUUUUUAAAUCUUAUUUCAUCUUAAUUUCAUGAAAGCAGUUGUUCAAUUAAUCUCAUAUAUUGCAGUUUUUGGAUAAAAAAAUGUACUUAAAUGUUUUGCCUCAAUCUUAUUUCUUAAAUGUAGAUUCGCACUGAAUUCCUAUACUGACCCCCAUUACUUUUCAACCCUGUAGUAAAAAAAAUUAGUACAUUCACCAUUUUUUUUUUUUUUUUUUUUCAACUCUAGUUUUGAUCCAUCUGCCAAAAAAUAUUUAUUACAAACAUUAUCUACCAAUCAGAAGAGCAUAUGACUUCAGUGUUAUACAGAAAGCUCUCCCCUAAAUGGGCGGUCCCUGAUGACGCAUAUUUAUUUACUGAAUUUACCUCUAUAAGGGACUUUUUUACUUCUGUUCCCACUUUUUUUGUAAUAAACAUAUAAGGUAUCCAAUUUUCAAGUUCCAGUUUCAAUACAACAUUCAUAAAUGCUGAAUUUGUAAAGAUAGAGAGCAAAAUUUAUACUACAGCCCAUACUGCGGCCAAUGUAUAUUUGGUAUAUAAAGUUGCACAUUGACUGUUUUUAAAAGAAUGGUGUAAAAUACUAUGUUUAAUAAAUAUGAAUUGUUUUCUGUGUUUGCUUUGACCAGUAUUGCAAGUACACCUAGAAACUAAAGACUUGGUGUACUCUUAGUCAAAUUUUUCCUUAGAUGGAAGUUUUUGAUUAAAUACCCUGAAAAGACCACAAAAAACCUUUUAAAAGGCUUUUUUAAGCAGUUUGAUACCAAAUAAAACAACAAUUAUGUUUCAUUAUACUAAAUCUGUGUUUUAAUUACUUGUAAAGUUUACAAAAUGUCAUUGACAAUCACUCUGCAGAAAUUCCUGUUACCCCAACAUCAGGAUGGAUUCUUCGCCAAAACUAGACAGCCAGAACUGAAGUAGAAAAAAGUGCCAAAUAUGAAUAAAUAAGACUAAGUAUAACCAAACUUUGCAUUUGGAAGAUUAAAGUAACAAUUUGGAAAAUUUAAAAGCAAUUAUUUAACAUAAAAGUCCAAUUACAAACAUUUCAACACUUGUUUCCUAGAUGAAGGACAUGUAAUCAUGAAAAGUUGUAUAGUAUAGUUUUUAAAUAAAGAAACGCAAUGUGUUAUUUAAAAAUAAAUGAAUAACUUCCUGCGGUCAGAUUAUUCGAAUGUUAAAAUACUAGAAAAGUGCUUAUUUACCACUUGUUCUACAACUUAACAUGGGGAACACAGCUAAAAAAAAAAAUCACUAUGUCAAAGGGAGGUAAUCCAUUUUUUCAUAUGAUUUUAUAUACAUUAUGAGGAGAAAUAUGUGCAAAAUGUGAUGUAAAUGGGGAGAAUAUUUAUGCCUUUCAUUGAUAUCAUAACUCUAAAGUGUAAUUUCUAUUGUUUCUUUCUAUCUGCACACAAAAACUGAUUAUUUACCAUAUACUUCAUGCUUCCUCUCGAAGUACAUUCAGUGCAUGCUGGAUAGCCGCAGCUAAGAUAGACAUUUGUGUAAAAAACAACUUCAAAUGGUUCCAAAAUCCUUCCAUUACAUUAAAAUUUACAGGAAAUGAGUUUGUUGAUUAUUCUGUGGCCUUGGACAAGUACAGUGAAAGAGUGCAUAUUUUCCUAUAGGGGUAAAUUCAGUAAAAAAUCUCCCAUUGACUUUAAUGCUAAUCUAUGUAUGGAAUUAAAUUUAUACCUGAUUUACCUUUAGAAAUUUGAAACUUUCAUAUAACAUUCAUGAAAGUACAAAUGUAGCCCUAUCUUUUGCACUAAUAAAAACAUAGGGUCAUGCGGCAUUUUUGGGCAUUCACAUGGCCUUGUUUACAAACAAUGUAGAUUCGCACUGAAUUCCUAUACUGACCCCCAUUACUUUUCAACCCUGUAGUAAAAAAAAAUUAGUACAUUCAGCAUUUGUUUAAAAAAAAAUUUCAACUCUAGUUUUGAUCCAUCUGCCAAAAAAUAUUUAUUACAAACAUUAUCUACCAAUCAGAAGAGCAUAUUACUUCAGUGUUAUACAGAAAGCUCUCCCCUAAAUGGGCGGUCCCUGAUGACGUAUAUUUAUUUACUGAAUUUACCCCUAUAACUAUACUCCUUUUCUACCACAGAAAACGAAAGUGACAAAGAGAGAUCGAACAACCCCAGAUUAUUCUACUGCGUAGAUCUCAGAGGCAUAUUAUUCGAUCCGGUGAUCAGUGUUGUAACCCUUUAUCUGUGGUGUUAGUGCCUCUUUUAUAGACUGUUGAACAAGAUUCUCUUUUGAACCCCGUUCGUGACAUGUUUGACACAGCUUAUUCGCUUUCUCGAUACAACCUACACCCUUCUCUCUUCAGUCCGUUGAAUCAACCAAAUAAAAUGUACAUGUUUUGUGCUUUUCUUAUCUCUCCUAGGAGAAUAUUUAAAGGCAUUAUUUGCCCCUAAAGGCCAAACAAUCAAUAACCAACAAAUCUGUUUUGACAAUAUGACAACCCCUGGACUACGCUCAUAGGAACUUGUCCCAUGCGGGGGGGGGGGGUUGAUAUAUUACACAAAAUCACCAAAAGACAAAAUGGUUUGUUCUGUGGUAAUUAGAAAAUAAAUAAUCUGAAUGGUUUUACACUAGUAAUUUUAGGGUCCUUUAUAGCUUGUUGUUCGGUGUGAGCCAAGGCUCCGUGUUGAAGGCCGUACAUUGACCUAUAAUUGUUUACUUUUAUAAAUUGUUAUUUGGAUGGAGAGUUGUCUCAUUGGCACUCACACUACAUCUUCAUAUAUCUAUUAAGAUAUAUUGAAAAUCAUAACUCGGCAGGUCUUUUAAGCCAUUUUAUUAAUGCUAUUCCAUGUUUUUUCAAAAAAAUCGAGAAACGCAUAAAAGAAUAAAUGUAAUUAAAAUAUAUUUGAUAUGUCUCGAAACGGGUUUCAUCUAACUUGACCUAUAUUGUCUCAGGAACACUUACCUCACUUUUAUUACAUGGCUCAGGGCUGUAACUACAUUGAGGCUAUUGCCUCAUGUAGAAAAGUUCAAAACCAAACCUUGUCGUCAUAUCAAAUUGUUAAAUUACGACGAGUGUCUUGCAAGAAGCAACGUCUGUUCUUGUACUUUUCGGGGUCCAUGUUUCUUAUUUAUUUUUAGUUUUCAGUGUUACACAAGCAAGACGACUUCUGUUUCUUUUUGAAGGAUAUUCCCUAGACAUAUAAUUACUUUGAUCAGUUUUAUUUGGACUCUGUUGGAUAGUUGUCAAAUUGGCAAUCAUACAACAUCUCUUUAUAUUAUUUUGACCACAAAUCUCCUUUUGACUAGCAACAUCAGUAUCAAAUUGCAGGCCAGACUUCACUUUUCAUCAGUCUUUAAAAUUUACCUGUUUUUGAAAACACCAAUAAACUAAGAAAUAUCUGUAACAUGAUUUUUAUGUUUCUAAAACCUUUAUCAGGUACAUUUGACACUAAGAUGUUUGAAAAGAAAAUGAUAAGAAAUAUUUGAUAGAAUAAAAACUGACAAUCAUUGGUCUCUGUAGUUUCAUUGGCAGUAAUACCACAACUCUUUUAUACAGAGGACAAAAUUAUCUUAAAUGGAUUUUGUGGAAUGUUGUACAUGUAUUUGACAAUUUUUGUUAAUAUGUUACUUAUGGUUUGACACUUUGACAAACACAUUUGUUGACUUAUACAUAUAAUAUGAAAAGGAAAACCACAAAAGUGUAUUAGAUGUUUCCUUUAGCAUCAAUUUAAAUACAACUUUGAAGUUGUGUCCCAUGUAGGUUUAAUGAUAACCAAUGUCUUGAAAAAUCUAAAAUUGUAUUAUUUUUUUAAAUAUGUUAAAUGAAAACUUCAAUAAAUCCGCUAUAGAGAUCUCAUUCAUAUUUUUUCUCUCUGUUGUCUAUUUGUUGCAGAAUAAUUUUAAAAAAAACUUCCAAAAAAUUGAUUUAACUCUACUUUUAUUUACAGCAUUCUCAAAACGUUACAAUCAACUUUUGGUGUUUUUGUUGUUGACAUAAUAACAAUAUCAAUUGAAUGUUCUAUCUUCUAAAUGUCACUCUUCUUGAAGUUGUCUUCAUCUGAAAAGAAAACAAUUACAUUCAUAAUUAUACAUUUAAACUUAAUUUUAUUUAUUCCCAUAUACUGUAAGUUGUUAGUUUUAAACAUAAUGAAAUAACCUCAGUGACUUUAAUCAUGCUUUUCUGUCUCAUUUGUCUGAGUGUAUGUCGUUUCUUUUAUUUGUUCUCGGGUUUUUGUUUUGUUCAUUGAUUGCCCUUCUGUAUUCUCUUAGUUUUGAAAUCCGUUUGUAAUUUAGUAAUUUUGUUUUAAAUUUGAUCAAGACAUCUAUUUUAUUUAAGACUUUUUAGCUAAUUUUUACAACUUCACUACUUUAAAUUGCAUCCCAUUUAGAAGCAACAUCAAGUUUGUAAUGCAUAAUAAAAACUUACUUGAUAUAGUUAUAUCAAUGAUAUGCAGCCCCUUUUCAACUUAAUUAAGAACAAAACACAUAAUUUAUAGGUAUAAAAGAUUAAAAUUUUGCAAGCCGAAACACCAAUAAACAAAAAACAGCAACCAAACUUAACUAUGUAAAUAACAUUUUUACUUUAUUCUUAAUAUUAAUCUUUUGAUGUUGUCCCUAAAAAUCGAAGUCUUACACUAAAUCUAUACAUAUUGAUUUUAAACCAAAAUACUUCCGUUUUAAGAAUAAGAAAUGGUAUGGGAAACGCCCAGAAAGCAUGAUGUUGCAUCAUUUCUUUUAUAGCUUCUUGUGGACUUCUGCAGCUCCAGAACCCUUUGGUAAUUUUUAAGCAUCGCUUGGCAAAUAGGAUGCUUAAGUCAUAUUUCUGAUUCAAUCCGAAAGAGUAGAAUUUACUCAUAUCUAUUGUUUUGAUGACAACUACAUAAAUAUCAAGAAUAUAAAAGUGAAAGCCUAUUAGCAUGUGCACCUCAGCAGAUGUCAAAUAACAGUUACACAAUGUAAUACCUUUAAGACGAUUCUUUUUUUUAAAUAUAACAUUCAGUUCGUAGAAAAGUUUAACCAAUGGCAGCAAUCUUUCAAACUAGCUUUCAUUACAAUAUACAUUUAUAGAUAAAUGAAUAAAUACUACAUUUAAUGUGGAAAAUGAUUAUACGAACAACUUUAGGAAUUGUAAGCAAUGAUUUCUUAUGAUAUAAUGAAAUGACUACUUUUUGCUUUUAUAAUAUUAUUUUGUUGUAGGGUGCGCAUUCUCUAUAGUGUUAUGGCGACUUCAUCUUUGAAUUGUGGUGUUUGUGAUCUCCGCAAUAUUUCCAAACUUUUAGCGAUCUGGUACUGAAUCUGAUGAAGGACUUUGCGAGGGUUGUCAGGAACAUCACAGCUGAUCUAAAGGAUCUAAAGGAUCUCGAAAUCAUACGGUUAUACCUUUGAUAACUAUUUACACCACUGGGUCGAUGCCACUGCUGGUGGACGUUUAGUCCCCGAGGGUAUCACCAGCCCAGUAGUCAACACUUCGGUGUUGACAUGAAUAUCAAUAUUGUGGUCAUUUUUAUAAAUUUCCUGUUACAAAAGUUUGAAUCUUUCGAAAAAACUAAGGAUUUUCUUAUCCCAGGCAUAUAUUACCUUAGCCGUAUUUGGCACAACUUUUUGGAAUUUUGGAUCCUCAAUGCUCUUCAACCUUGUACUCGUUUGGCUUUAUAAAUAUUUUGAUAUGAGCGUCACUGAUGAGUCUUAUGUAGACGAAACGCGCGUCUGGCGUACUAAAUUAUAAUCCUGGUACCUUUGAUAACUAUUUAUACCAAUUUCCGAAUAUCGUAAAUUACCAAGUGAUGUUAUCAAUAUUUCUCAGUUCUGUGACAAGCACAAUGAAAAGUACAUCAUUUACUGCAAGAAGCAUGAAUGCCCUUUUUGUAGCAGCUGCAUUGUACAAAGUCACAAUAGAUGCGAUGAAAUUGUAAAACUAGAUGAUGUCAUUAAAAAUUCCAAGACAUCAUAUGCAUUCUACGAAAUCCAGCAGACAUUGGUAGAAGUAGUCGAAAAUAUUGGAAAAAUCCGACAAGACCGACAAAAGAACCAGCUGACCUUAUCUGAGACUCGGAAACAGAUUGAAAAAGAAAUAGCAGAGACCCGAAUAGCGAUCAAUAAUCAUAUCGACAAAAUACAAGCAGAUAUAAUAAAGGAGCUAUGUGCAUCGGAAGAUAAGGAGAGUAGAAAAAUUCGUCAACUGUUAAUUUCUCUAGAGGAAAAACAACAAGAAAUGUUGUCAUUACAGGAUAGUAUUUCAGAUAUCAAACAGAAUACUUCUGAUCUUCAGACUUUUUUGUCUAUGAAACGAAUUGAAAAGGAGGUCUCUGACAAAAAUGAAUAUAUCAGGUCAAUAUCCGGUAGCGAGAAUUUGAAAAAGAUUGUUCUGUCAUUUCGUAUCAACACUGCAAUUAAAAAUCUCAUUUCUAACAUUCGAAAUUUUGGAAGGAUUACGGUUGAAAGUAUACCGUCAAAUAUUGAGCUUACCACGAGCAAGGAUAAAAAAGCUCAAAUUAUGGUGGCUAGAGUACAAUCAAGAUCUUUUGAGCAUAUCAAUUUUAAGUUACAACAGAC
Molecule: long non-coding RNA, 15714 nt
Filed under: Mytilus galloprovincialis (Mediterranean mussel)
Lineage: Eukaryota; Metazoa; Mollusca; Bivalvia; Mytilida; Mytilidae
Source: RNAcentral